AUGUUUCUUAGUUCAAUGUACUCGUCAUUGUGUAUGCAAAAGCAUGUUUCUGGAGUACUUAAGAAUCAUGCGGCUCUCUACAGAUUUAAAAUUCAUGGUAUGAUCAUAGGAGUGCACUUUGUUGGGGGUGGGGGGCAAUUUGUUGAAUGGAUAGCACUGACAUCAGUUACAACAUGUAAUUGCCUUGCAAAGUUUCGCAGAGAACAAGCUAUCUGGGAAUUUCUUCCAAUAGCAGCAACCUCCGAGCAAGCAAAACUAUUCUCUGUAAAUAAUCUUCUAGAACCACAGUUAUCUAUUUUCUUUCUAUUUUACCUUUUUCCUGUAUUGGAUUUCCAUGUACUGAACACUCUCCUUAAUCAAUGA
This 363-nucleotide ribosomal RNA is filed under the name Triticum aestivum (bread wheat). Its description in RNAcentral is "partial small subunit ribosomal RNA". The record is from RNAcentral. Lineage: Eukaryota; Viridiplantae; Streptophyta; Magnoliopsida; Poales; Poaceae.